Molecule: ribosomal RNA, 380 nt
Filed under: Escherichia coli
Lineage: Bacteria; Pseudomonadati; Pseudomonadota; Gammaproteobacteria; Enterobacterales; Enterobacteriaceae
Description: bacterial SSU rRNA
Rfam family: Bacterial small subunit ribosomal RNA
Source: RNAcentral
UUAAAUUGAAGAGUUUGAUCAUGGCUCAGAUUGAACGCUGGCGGCAGGCCUAACACAUGCAAGUCGAACGGUAACAGGAAGAAGCUUGCUUCUUUGCUGACGAGUGGCGGACGGGUGAGUAAUGUCUGGGAAACUGCCUGAUGGAGGGGGAUAACUACUGGAAACGGUAGCUAAUACCGCAUAACGUCGCAAGACCAAAGAGGGGGACCUUCGGGCCUCUUGCCAUCGGAUGUGCCCAGAUGGGAUUAGCUAGUAGGUGGGGUAAAGGCUCACCUAGGCGACGAUCCCUAGCUGGUCUGAGAGGAUGACCAGCCACACUGGAACUGAGACACGGUCCAGACUCCUACGGGAGGCAGCAGUGGGGAAUAUUGCACAAUGGG